This 1491-nucleotide ribosomal RNA is filed under the name uncultured bacterium. RNAcentral's name for it is "bacterial SSU rRNA". It matches the Rfam family "Bacterial small subunit ribosomal RNA". The record is from RNAcentral.
AGAGUUUGAUCCUGGCUCAGGACGAACGCUGGCGGCGUGCUUAACACAUGCAAGUCGAACGAUGAUGCCCAGCUUGCUGGGUGGAUUAGUGGCGAACGGGUGAGUAAUACGUGAGUAACCUGCCCUUGACUCUGGGAUAAGCCUGGGAAGCUGGGUCUAAUACUGGAUACUACGCUCCAUCGCAUGGUGGGGGGUGGAAAGGGUUUUACUGGUUUUGGAUGGGCUCACGGCCUAUCAGCUUGUUGGUGGGGUAAUGGCUCACCAAGGCGACGACGGGUAGCCGGCCUGAGAGGGUGACCGGCCACACUGGGACUGAGACACGGCCCAGACUCCUACGGGAGGCAGCAGUGGGGAAUAUUGCACAAUGGGCGAAAGCCUGAUGCAGCGACGCCGCGUGAGGGAUGACGGCCUUCGGGUUGUAAACCUCUUUCAGUAGGGAAGAAGCGCAAGUGACGGUACCUGCAGAAGAAGCGCCGGCUAACUACGUGCCAGCAGCCGCGGUAAUACGUAGGGCGCAAGCGUUGUCCGGAAUUAUUGGGCGUAAAGAGCUCGUAGGCGGUUUGUCGCGUCUGCUGUGAAAGCCCGGGGCUCAACCCCGGGUCUGCAGUGGGUACGGGCAGACUAGAGUGCAGUAGGGGAGACUGGAAUUCCUGGUGUAGCGGUGAAAUGCGCAGAUAUCAGGAGGAACACCGAUGGCGAAGGCAGGUCUCUGGGCUGUUACUGACGCUGAGGAGCGAAAGCAUGGGGAGCGAACAGGAUUAGAUACCCUGGUAGUCCAUGCCGUAAACGUUGGGCACUAGGUGUGGGGGACAUUCCACGUUUUCCGCGCCGUAGCUAACGCAUUAAGUGCCCCGCCUGSGGAGUACGGCCGCAAGGCUAAAACUCAAAGGAAUUGACGGGGGCCCGCACAAGCGGCGGAGCAUGCGGAUUAAUUCGAUGCAACGCGAAGAACCUUACCAAGGCUUGACAUUCACCGGACCGCCCCAGAGAUGGGGUUUCCCUUCGGGGCCGGUGGACAGGUGGUGCAUGGUUGUCGUCAGCUCGUGUCGUGAGAUGUUGGGUUAAGUCCCGCAACGAGCGCAACCCUCGUUCUAUGUUGCCAGCACGUGAUGGUGGGGACUCAUAGGAGACUGCCGGGGUCAACUCGGAGGAAGGUGGGGAUGACGUCAAAUCAUCAUGCCCCUUAUGUCUUGGGCUUCACGCAUGCUACAAUGGCCGGUACAAAGGGUUGCGAUACUGUGAGGUGGAGCUAAUCCCAAAAAGCCGGUCUCAGUUCGGAUUGAGGUCUGCAACUCGACCUCAUGAAGUCGGAGUCGCUAGUAAUCGCAGAUCAGCAACGCUGCGGUGAAUACGUUCCCGGGCCUUGUACACACCGCCCGUCAAGUCACGAAAGUUGGUAACACCCGAAGCCGGUGGCCUAACCCCUUUGUGGGAGGGAGCCGUCGAAGGUGGGACUGGCGAUUGGGACUAAGUCGUAACAAGGUAACCGUA